Molecule: small nuclear RNA, 122 nt
Filed under: Mus spicilegus (steppe mouse)
Lineage: Eukaryota; Metazoa; Chordata; Mammalia; Rodentia; Muridae
Source: RNAcentral
ACAUGCCUUCCUUGCUUUCUUCCACCACAUAUAUACACUAAAAUUGGAAUGAUGCUGAGAAGAUUAGCAUGCCCCCCCCUCAAAAUAAUGACAUGCAAGUUUGUGAAGUGUUCCAUAGACAA